RNAcentral lists this ribosomal RNA (381 nucleotides) under Prevotella nigrescens. Its description in RNAcentral is "bacterial SSU rRNA". It matches the Rfam family "Bacterial small subunit ribosomal RNA", at positions 85 to 466 of the family's 1533-position model. Lineage: Bacteria; Pseudomonadati; Bacteroidota; Bacteroidia; Bacteroidales; Prevotellaceae. The record is from RNAcentral.
UGGACGUCGACCGGCGCACGGGUGAGUAUCGCGUAUCCAACCUGCCCCUUACUUGGGGAUACCCCGUUGAAAGACGGCCUAAUACCCGAUGUGUUUCAUUGACGGCAUCCGAUAUGAAACAAAGGUUUUCCGGUAAGGGAUGGGGAUGCGUCUGAUUAGCUAGUUGGCGGGGCAACGGCCCACCAAGGCGACGAUCAGUAGGGGUUCUGAGAGGAAGGUCCCCCACAUUGGAACUGAGACACGGUCCAAACUCCUACGGGAGGCAGCAGUGAGGAAUAUUGGUCAAUGGACGCAAGUCUGAACCAGCCAAGUAGCGUGCAGGAUGACGGCCCUAUGGGUUGUAAACUGCUUUUAUGUGGGAAUAAAUUGGCGCACGUGUGC